GACGAACGCUGGCGGUGUGCUUAACACAUGCAAGUCGAACGGUAAGGCCCUGCUUUUGUGGGGUGCUCGAGUGGCGAACUGGUGCGUAACACGUGGGUAACCUGCCCUUGACUUUGGGAUAACUUCCGAAAACUGGGGCUAAUACCGGAUAGGAGCUCCUCUUGCAAGGAGGGGGUUGGAAAGCUUCGACGGUUGGGGAUGGACCCGCGGCUUUUCCGCUUGUUGGUGGGGUAGUGGCUUACCAAGGCUUUUACGGGUGCCCGGGCUGCUAGGGUGACCGGCCACAUUGGGGCUGGGGUACGGCCCAGACUCCUACGGGAGGCAGCAGGUGGGAAUAUUGCACAAUGGGCGGAAGCCUGAUGCAGCAACGCCGCGGGCGGGAUGACGGCCUUCUGGUUGUAGACCGCUUUCGCCGUUGACGAAGCGUGAGUGACAGUAAUGGGGAAAGAAGCACCGGCUAACUACGUG
Molecule: ribosomal RNA, 468 nt
Filed under: uncultured bacterium
Lineage: Bacteria
Description: partial 16S ribosomal RNA
Rfam family: Bacterial small subunit ribosomal RNA
Source: RNAcentral